This 253-nucleotide ribosomal RNA is filed under the name uncultured bacterium. RNAcentral describes it as "partial 16S ribosomal RNA". It matches the Rfam family "Bacterial small subunit ribosomal RNA", at positions 524 to 776 of the family's 1533-position model. The record is from RNAcentral.
UACGUAGGGUCCGAGCGUUGUCCGGAAUUAUUGGGCGUAAAGAGCUCGUAGGCGGCUUGUCACGUCGGGUGUGAAAGCCCGGGGCUUAACCCCGGGUCUGCAUUCGAUACGGGCUAGCUAGAGUGUGGUAGGGGAGAUCGGAAUUCCUGGUGUAGCGGUGAAAUGCGCAGAUAUCAGGAGGAACACCGGUGGCGAAGGCGGAUCUCUGGGCCGAUACUGACGCUGAGGAGCGAAAGCGUGGGGAGCGAACAGG